GACGAACGCUGGCGGCGUGCUUAACACAUGCAAGUCGAACGGAAAGGCCCUGCUUUUGUGGGGUGCUCGAGUGGCGAACGGGUGAGUAACAUGUGAGUAACCUGCCCUUGACUUUGGGAUAACUUCAGGAAACUGGGGCUAAUACCGGAUAGGAGCUCCUGCUGCAUGGUGGGGGUUGGAAAGUUUCGGCGGUUGGGGAUGGACUCGCGGCUUAUCAGCUUGUUGGUGGGGUAGUGGCUUACCAAGGCUUUGACGGGUAGCCGGCCUGAGAGGGUGACCGGCCACAUUGGGACUACGAUACGGCCCAGACUCCUACGGGAGGCAGAAGGGGGGAAUAUGGCACAAUGGGCGGAAGCCUGAGGCAGCAACGCCGCGUGCGGGAUGACGGCCUUCGGGUUGUAAACCGCUUUCGCCUGUGACGAAGCGUGAGUGACGGUAAUGGGUAAAGAAGCACCGGCUAACUACGUG
RNAcentral lists this ribosomal RNA (468 nucleotides) under uncultured bacterium. RNAcentral describes it as "partial 16S ribosomal RNA". It matches the Rfam family "Bacterial small subunit ribosomal RNA", at positions 28 to 507 of the family's 1533-position model. The record is from RNAcentral.